UAGCCUGAAGUGAUGAGCUUGGUUCAUGUCUCUUCUCUGAGAAUUAUGCUGGAGAUACUCCAUAGACUCUGAUCAGGCAC
Buteo japonicus is the source of this 80-nucleotide small nucleolar RNA. The record is from Ensembl. Lineage: Eukaryota; Metazoa; Chordata; Aves; Accipitriformes; Accipitridae.